CCUACGGGAGGCAGCAGUAGGGAAUCUUCCGCAAUGGACGCAAGUCUGACGGAGCAACGCCGCGUGAGUGAUGAAGGUUUUCGGAUCGUAAAGCUCUGUUGCCCUAGACGAACAGCAAGGUGAGUAACUGCACUUUGUGUGACGGUAUAGGAGAAGAAAGCCCCGGCUAACUACGUGCCAGCAGCCGCGGUAAU
This 194-nucleotide ribosomal RNA is filed under the name uncultured bacterium. RNAcentral's name for it is "partial 16S ribosomal RNA". It matches the Rfam family "Bacterial small subunit ribosomal RNA", at positions 338 to 524 of the family's 1533-position model. The record is from RNAcentral.